Molecule: ribosomal RNA, 722 nt
Filed under: uncultured Thermoplasmatales archaeon
Lineage: Archaea; Methanobacteriati; Thermoplasmatota; Thermoplasmata; Thermoplasmatales
Description: bacterial SSU rRNA
Rfam family: Archaeal small subunit ribosomal RNA
Source: RNAcentral
CUUAGUGGAGAUAUCUCGGGAAAACUGAGGAUAAUAAUCCAUAGAUCUAGGAUGCUGGAAUGCACCUAGAUUGAAAGCUCCGGCGCCUAGGAUGAGUCUGCGGACUAUCAGGUUGUAGUCAGGGUAAAGACCUGACUAGCCUACGACGGAUACGGGUUGUGAGAGCAAUAACCCGGAGACGAUAUCUGAGACACGAUAUCGGGCCCUACGGGGCGCAGCAGGCGCGAAAACUUCACACUGUGCGAAAGCGCGAUGAGGGAAUCCCAAGUGCUUGCUCGUAAGAGUAAGCUGUUUCUUUGUCUAAAACGCAGAGAGAGUAAGGGCUGGGUAAGACGGGUGCCAGCCGCCGCGGUAAUACCUGCAGCUCAAGUGGUGAUCAUUAUUAUUGGGCCUAAAACGUCCGUAGCCGGUUUAGUAAAUGCCUGGGUAAAUCGUGUAGCUUAACUAUACGAAUUCUGGGUAGACUGCUAAACUUGAGACCGGGAGAGGCUAGAGGUACUCCUGGGGUAGAGGUGAAAUUCUGUAAUCCUAGGGGGACCACCAGUGGCGAAGGCGUCUAGCUAGAACGGGUCUGACGGUGAGGGACGAAGCCCUGGGGCGCAAACCGGAUUAGAUACCCGGGUAGUCCAGGGUGUAAACGCUGCUUGCUUGAUGUUAGUUGGGCUCCGAGCCCAACUAGUGUCGGAGAGAAGUUGUAAGCAAGCUGCCUGGAAGACGUCGCA